This 1896-nucleotide ribosomal RNA is filed under the name Triticum aestivum (bread wheat). RNAcentral describes it as "partial small subunit ribosomal RNA". Lineage: Eukaryota; Viridiplantae; Streptophyta; Magnoliopsida; Poales; Poaceae. The record is from RNAcentral.
AUGGCUAAAGAUUACCCAGCAUCUCCUAAAGCCCAGCAUCUGCAAGAAUCCAAGAAGCAGCGUCUCACCUACGUACUUGUGGUGAGCGCGCUCUGCGUCGCCUUCUACGUGCUCGGGGCAUGGCAGAACAGCACCAUGCCGAACCCUGUGGCUGAUUCGGCAAUAAGCCGGGUUGACUGUGAUACCGUGGCGCAGAGAGACGGGUCGGUGCCGUCUUUUGCGCCCGCGUCUGAGAACGUGCUCGAUUUCGAUGCGCACCACCAGCUGAACCUCAGUAACACGGAGUCCGCGGUGCAGCAGUUCCCUGCGUGCCCGCUCAAUCAGAGCGAGUACACGCCAUGCGAGGACCGGAAACGUGGCCGUCUGUUUGACCGGGACAUGCUGAUAUACCGUGAGAGGCACUGCCCGGGCAAGGACGAGCAGAUCCGAUGCCUCAUUCCGGCGCCGCCAAAGUACAAGAACCCCUUCAGGUGGCCGGAGAGCAGGGACGUCGCUUGGUUUGACAAUAUCCCUCACAAGGAGCUCAGCAUCGAGAAGGCCGUGCAGAACUGGAUCCGGGUGGAGGGGAACAAGUUCCGGUUCCCCGGUGGUGGCACUAUGUUUCCCCAUGGCGCUGACGCGUACAUUGAUGAAAUCAGUAAGCUCAUCUCGUUGUCGGAUGGGAGGAUCAGGACGGCGAUCGACACGGGCUGCGGGGUUGCUAGCUUUGGGGCUUACUUGCUGAAGAGGAACAUCAUUACCGUGUCGUUUGCGCCGAGGGACACACACGAAGCUCAGGUGCAAUUUGCACUGGAACGCGGUGUGCCUGCCAUCCUCGGCGUGAUGGGAUCAAUACGGUUGCCUUAUCCAUCUAGGGCAUUUGACCUGGCUCAUUGUUCACGUUGUCUGAUUCCUUGGGGAGGGCAUGAUGGACUGUACCUCGCCGAGAUCGAUAGGAUUCUAAGGCCAGGGGGCUACUGGAUUCACUCGGGCCCUCCAAUCAACUGGAAGACGCACCACAAUGGGUGGAAGAGGGCCGAGGAAGACCUCAAGCGGGAGCAAGACAAGAUUGAGGAUGUCGCGAGGAGCCUUUGCUGGAAUAAGGUGGCCGAGAAGGAGGACCUCUCCAUCUGGCAGAAGCCCAAGAACCACCUUGAGUGUGCCGACAUAAAAAAGAAGCAUAAGAUACCCCAUGUCUGCAAGAGUGACAACCCUGAUGCUGCCUGGUACAAGAAGAUGGAAUCCUGUCUUACCCCAUUGCCUGAAGUGAGCAACCAGGGAUCGAUCGCCGGCGGAGAGGUCGCGAGAUGGCCAAAGAGGGCGCUCACGGUGCCCCCAAGGGUCAAGAGGGGCACGAUUCCGGGGAUAGACGAGAAGAAGUUUGAGGAGGACAUGAAGCUUUGGGAGAAGAGGCUGGCGUACUACAAACGCACGACGCCCAUAGCGCAGGGGCGGUACAGGAAUGUGAUGGACAUGAACGCGAACCUGGGCGGUUUCGCCGCUUCCCUGGUCAAGUACCCCGUGUGGGUGAUGAACGUCGUCCCGGUCAAUUCGGACAAGGACACCCUCGGAGCGAUCUACGAGCGGGGGUUCAUCGGCACCUACCAGGACUGGUGCGAAGCCUUCUCGACGUACCCGAGGACCUACGACCUGUUGCACGCCGACAAUUUGUUCAGCAUCUACCAGGACAGGUGCGACAUAACGGACAUCCUCCUGGAGAUGGACAGGAUACUGAGGCCCGAGGGCACGGCGAUCAUCCGCGACACGGUCGACGUGCUCACCAAGGUCCAGGCCAUAGCCAAGCGGAUGCGGUGGGACAGCCGCAUCCUGGACCACGAGGACGGGCCCUUCAACCAGGAGAAGGUCCUUGUCGCGGUCAAGACGUACUGGACGGCCGACCCGUCGGAGCACAGCUGA